This 200-nucleotide ribosomal RNA is filed under the name uncultured bacterium. RNAcentral describes it as "partial 16S ribosomal RNA". It matches the Rfam family "Bacterial small subunit ribosomal RNA", at positions 370 to 588 of the family's 1533-position model. The record is from RNAcentral.
AAUGGGCGAAACGUGAUCCAGCCAUGCCGCGUGAGUGAAGAAGGCCUUAGGGUUGUAAAGCUCUUUUGGCAGGGACGAUAAUGACGGUACCUGCAGAAUAAGCCCCGGCAAACUUCGUGCCAGCAGCCGCGGUAAUACGAAGGGGGCUAGCGUUGUUCGGAUUUACUGGGCGUAAAGCGCACGUAGGCGGGUUGUUAAGU